RNAcentral lists this ribosomal RNA (932 nucleotides) under Candidatus Phytoplasma asteris-related phytoplasma. RNAcentral describes it as "bacterial SSU rRNA". It matches the Rfam family "Bacterial small subunit ribosomal RNA", at positions 223 to 1163 of the family's 1533-position model. Lineage: Bacteria; Bacillati; Mycoplasmatota; Mollicutes; Acholeplasmatales; Acholeplasmataceae. The record is from RNAcentral.
GGAGGAGCUUGCGUCACAUUAGUUAGUUGGUGGGGUAAAGGCCUACCAAGACUAUGAUGUGUAGCCGGGCUGAGAGGUUGAACGGCCACAUUGGGACUGAGACACGGCCCAAACUCCUACGGGAGGCAGCAGUAGGGAAUUUUCGGCAAUGGAGGAAACUCUGACCGAGCAACGCCGCGUGAACGAUGAAGUAUUUCGGUACGUAAAGUUCUUUUAUUAGGGAAGAAUAAAUGAUGGAAAAAUCAUUCUGACGGUACCUAAUGAAUAAGCCCCGGCUAACUAUGUGCCAGCAGCCGCGGUAAUACAUAGGGGGCAAGCGUUAUCCGGAAUUAUUGGGCGUAAAGGGUGCGUAGGCGGUUAAAUAAGUUUAUGGUCUAAGUGCAAUGCUCAACAUUGUGAUGCUAUAAAAACUGUUUAGCUAGAGUAAGAUAGAGGCAAGUGGAAUUCCAUGUGUAGUGGUAAAAUGCGUAAAUAUAUGGAGGAACACCAGUAGCGAAGGCGGCUUGCUGGGUCUUUACUGACGCUGAGGCACGAAAGCGUGGGGAGCAAACAGGAUUAGAUACCCUGGUAGUCCACGCCGUAAACGAUGAGUACUAAACGUUGGGUAAAACCAGUGUUGAAGUUAACACAUUAAGUACUCCGCCUGAGUAGUACGUACGCAAGUAUGAAACUUAAAGGAAUUGACGGGACUCCGCACAAGCGGUGGAUCAUGUUGUUUAAUUCGAAGGUACCCGAAAAACCUCACCAGGUCUUGACAUGCUUCUGCAAAGCUGUAGAAACACAGUGGAGGUUAUCAGUUGCACAGGUGGUGCAUGGUUGUCGUCAGCUCGUGUCGUGAGAUGUUGGGUUAAGUCCCGCAACGAGCGCAACCCUUAUUGUUAGUUACCAGCACGUAAUGGUGGGGGACUUUANCAAGACUGCCGGUGANAAAU